UACAGAGGGUGCAAGCGUUGUUCGGAAUUAUUGGGCGUAAAGGGAGUGUAGGCGGCUUGUUAAGUCUUCUGUGAAAUCUACGGGCUCAGCCUGUAACGUGCAGAGGAAACUGGCAAGCUUGAGUGUCGGAGAGGAUAGGGGAAUACCCGGUGUAGAGGUGAAAUUCGUAGAGAUCGGGUGGAACACCAGUGGCGAAGGCGCCUAUCUGGCUGACAACUGACGCUGAGACUCGAAAGCAUGGGGAGCAAACAGG
This 253-nucleotide ribosomal RNA is filed under the name uncultured bacterium. RNAcentral's name for it is "partial 16S ribosomal RNA". It matches the Rfam family "Bacterial small subunit ribosomal RNA", at positions 524 to 776 of the family's 1533-position model. The record is from RNAcentral.